CCUGGCUCAGAUUAACGCGGCGGCAGGCCUAACACAUGCAAGUCGAGCGGAAACGAGUUAUCUGAACCUUCGGGGAACGAUAACGGCGUCGAGCGGCGGACGGGUGAGUAAUGCCUAGGAAAUUGCCUUGAUGUGGGGGAUAACCAUUGGAAACGAUGGCUAAUACCGCAUAAUGCCUACGGGCCAAAGAGGGGGACCUUCGGGCCUCUCGCGUCAAGAUAUGCCUAGGUGGGAUUAGCUAGUUGGUGAGGUAAUGGCUCACCAAGGCGACGAUCCCUAGCUGGUCUGAGAGGAUGAUCAGCCACACUGGAACUGAGACACGGUCCAGACUCCUACGGGAGGCAGCAGUGGGGAAUAUUGCACAAUGGGCGAAAGCCUGAUGCAGCCAUGCCGCGUGUAUGAAGAAGGCCUUCGGGUUGUAAAGUACUUUCAGUUGUGAGGAAGGGGGUGUCGUUAAUAGCGGCAUCUCUUGACGUUAGCAACAGAAGAAGCACCGGCUAACUCCGUGCCAGCAGCCGCGGUAAUACGGAGGGUGCGAGCGUUAAUCGGAAUUACUGGGCGUAAAGCGCAUGCAGGUGGUUCAUUAAGUCAGAUGUGAAAGCCCGGGGCUCAACCUCGGAACUGCAUUUGAAACUGGUGAACUAGAGUACUGUAGAGGGGGGUAGAAUUUCAGGUGUAGCGGUGAAAUGCGUAGAGAUCUGAAGGAAUACCAGUGGCGAAGGCGGCCCCCUGGACAGAUACUGACACUCAGAUGCG
Molecule: ribosomal RNA, 756 nt
Filed under: Vibrio sp. J252
Lineage: Bacteria; Pseudomonadati; Pseudomonadota; Gammaproteobacteria; Vibrionales; Vibrionaceae
Description: bacterial SSU rRNA
Rfam family: Bacterial small subunit ribosomal RNA
Source: RNAcentral